UACGGAGGAGGCAAGCGUUGUUCGGAAUCACUGGGCGUAAAGCGCACGCAGGCGGAUCGUUAAGUCAGGGGUGAAAUGCCGAGGCUCAACCUCGGAACUGCCUUUGAUACUGGCGAUCUUAGAGUCCGGGAGAGGUGAGUGGAACUCCGAGUGUAGAGGUGAAAUUCGUAGAUAUUCGGAAGAACACCAGUGGCGAAGGCGGCUCACUGGCCCGGUACUGACGCUCAGGUGCGAAAGCGUGGGGAGCAAACAGG
Molecule: ribosomal RNA, 254 nt
Filed under: uncultured bacterium
Lineage: Bacteria
Description: partial 16S ribosomal RNA
Rfam family: Bacterial small subunit ribosomal RNA
Source: RNAcentral